This 254-nucleotide ribosomal RNA is filed under the name uncultured bacterium. Its description in RNAcentral is "partial 16S ribosomal RNA". It matches the Rfam family "Bacterial small subunit ribosomal RNA", at positions 524 to 776 of the family's 1533-position model. The record is from RNAcentral.
UACGUAGGGCCCAAGCGUUGUUCGGAAUUACUGGGCGUAAAGGGCUCGUAGGCGGCCAACUAAGUCGGAUGUGAGAUCCCCAGGCUCAACCUGGGAACUGCAUCCGAUACUGGAUGGCUUGAAUCCGGGAGAGGGAUGCAGAAUUCCAGGUGUAGCGGUGAAAUGCGUAGAUAUCUGGAGGAACACCGGUGGCGAAGGCGGCGUCCUGGACCAAUACUGACACUGAGUGAGCGAAAGCCAGGGGAGCAAACGGG